This 1923-nucleotide unclassified non-coding RNA is filed under the name uncultured fungus. RNAcentral describes it as "sequence contains 18S rRNA gene, ITS1, 5.8S rRNA gene, ITS2, 28S rRNA gene". The stretch from base 818 to 1923 matches the Rfam family "Eukaryotic large subunit ribosomal RNA", at positions 1 to 961 of the family's 3401-position model. The record is from RNAcentral. Lineage: Eukaryota; Fungi.
GGAAGGAUCAUUAACACGUUAUCCACGUAUCAACCAAUGAGAACCCGUUUUCAACCCUCUCUUCUGGAGAAUGAAUUGAGCUUGCUUAGAGUUAUUGGAAGGGAUGCUUGCGUCAGGCUCUACUCGCUACUUGUACAAUUUUUAGCACUUGUGUUAUUAGUUGUACUAACAGUUGUAUCUUUUGGAAGAUUCUAGUUCACUAUGUUCGGGUCUCCUUUCAUUGACUUUUUCUGUGAACAUAAAUUUACCCAUUUCACACCCUUUUUUGCUAGUUGACUUUUAUAUGUUGUACAUCUGUUUCGGCACUUGUGCACACGUUUAAUUAUUUGAACGUUAAAAAUACAACUCUUAGCAAUGGAUAUCUAGGUUCUCGCAACGAUGAAGAACGCAGCGAAAUGCGAUACGUAAUGCGAAUUGCAGAAUUCAGUGAAUCAUCAAAUCUUUGAACGCAAAUUGCGCUCUUGGGUAGCCCUAGGAGCACGCCUCUCUCAGUAUCGGUUCAAACAUCUCUCAGCAGCGUGUUGAAAUUUAUUUCAAUAUGCGAUGGCUGGAUAAUGAGAGUCUGAGUGCUUGCACGCAGUCUCUUUAAGUACAUGGAAUAAAUCUAACUAGCGAUCCACUUCUAUUCUUCGGGGUAGAUAGUCAGUUCUCAACUGUUGUUCGAUAGUGACGUGAAUAUUGGCCUUUAUUGGUCUUCUUUUUACGUGUAUCUAUUGAAUAAUAUUAAAAGUUGUCAUCCGGCGAACGUUUUGUAUAGGCGAUUUAUGUGAGCACUCCAUAUGAUUUAUAGUCGUGAAAAAGCUAUGGGUCUGAAUUUUGAUCUGAGAUGAAGCGAGACAACCCCCUGAAUUUAAGCAUAUUAAUAAGGGAGGAAAAGAAACUAACAAGGAUUCCCCCAGUAACGGCGAGUGAAGCGGGAAGAGCUCAAUUUGAAAAUCGAUUACCUAAACGGGUCAUCGAGUUGUAGCCUAUAGACGUACUAUCAGCUGAAACCUGGGUAUAAGUUCUUUGGAAUGAGACGCGAUUCAGGGUGAGAGCCCCGUUUACGAUCCAAAGCUUUCAGCGUACGAUGUAUGUUCAUCGAGUCGAGUUGUUUGGGAUUGCAGCUCUAAAUGGGUGGUAAGUUUCAUCUAAAGCUAAAUAAUGGCGAGAGACCGAUAGCGAACAAGUACCGUGAGGGAAAGAUGAAAAGAACUUUGAAAAGAGAGUUAAAAGUACUUGAAAUUGCUAAGAGGGAAGCGCUAGAAACCAGUGAUACGCUGAGUCAAUCGCUUUCGGCCCCACUAGGCAGCGUACGUAAUGGGCAACCUUGCGUGCGUUUCCGAAAGGGCGGUCGGGAGUUUAUGAUUUAGUGUCAGUCAAGAUCAAUUCGGAUUGUGGGAGAAGGUAGUGAGAAAGGUAGGAGGGCAACCUCUGUUAUAUUCUUAUUACUCUACCUCGGCCUGGAUUGAGGAAGUAAUGGUGCGCCGCUUGCGGCUUGGUCCUUCGUUCCUAUGGUCUCAUGUGUUCUGAUAGCAAUGCUAUCUCUAUAUUGAAGGGCUAUACUGGGCGGAGUGAUUCGAUGUGCCAUCACGAUCUUGUACGAAAUGGUUUUAUCGACCCGUCUUGAAACACGGACCAAGGAGUCUAACAUCUAUGCGAGUAUUUGGGUGCAAAACCCUGAUGCGUAAUGAAAGUAAAGGUAGACUUGUUCUACUGAGGUAGGAAUCCUGCAAGGGAGGCACUAUCGACCGAUCACAAUUUAUUGAAGAUUUGAGUAAGAGCAUAUCUGUUGGACCCGAAAGAUGGUGAUCUAUGCCUGAACAGGGUGAAGCCAGGGGAAACUCUGGUGGAGGCUCGUAGCGAUACUGACGUGCAAAUCGUUCGUCUGAUUUGGGUAUAGGGGCGAAAGACUAAUCGAACCAUCUAGUAGCUGGUUCCCUC